Molecule: transfer RNA, 71 nt
Filed under: Fukomys damarensis (Damara mole-rat)
Lineage: Eukaryota; Metazoa; Chordata; Mammalia; Rodentia; Bathyergidae
Rfam family: tRNA
About the family: Transfer RNA (tRNA) molecules are approximately 80 nucleotides in length.
Source: Rfam by way of RNAcentral
GACUCUGUAGCUCAGUGGUAGAGCACAUGCCUGGCAUCCAUAAGGCCCUGGUUCAAUCCCCAGCACUGCCA